This 104-nucleotide non-coding RNA is filed under the name Antarctobacter albus. RNAcentral's name for it is "Antarctobacter sp. JLT354-W TPP riboswitch aptamer (THI element)". It matches the Rfam family "TPP riboswitch aptamer (THI element)". Rfam says of the family: Vitamin B(1) in its active form thiamin pyrophosphate (TPP) is an essential coenzyme that is synthesised by coupling of pyrimidine and thiazole moieties in bacteria. The previously detected thiamin-regulatory element, thi box was extended, resulting in a new, highly conserved RNA secondary structure, the THI element, which is widely distributed in eubacteria and also occurs in some archaea. Lineage: Bacteria; Pseudomonadati; Pseudomonadota; Alphaproteobacteria; Rhodobacterales; Roseobacteraceae. RNAcentral also lists the same sequence under 1 other name. The record is from Rfam by way of RNAcentral.
GUCUUACCGUUGGGGUGCCUCCAAGAGGCUGAGAGGCGUGAACGCGCUAACCCAUCGAACCUGAUCCGGGCAAUACCGGCGUAGGGAACGGUCUACAGUCCACA